Molecule: non-coding RNA, 536 nt
Organism: Chiloscyllium plagiosum (whitespotted bambooshark)
Lineage: Eukaryota; Metazoa; Chordata; Chondrichthyes; Orectolobiformes; Hemiscylliidae
Source: RefSeq, a predicted model, not a curated record
GCUCUCGCGAUACUGGCAGCGUCCUUUAACCAGGUCUCGAGCGCGCUGGUGGGGCCGGUUCUGCUGGUUGGUUGGGAGCUGUGUCACGUGGCCGGUCUGGGUUCCCGGCGGCCUCAGCGCGAAUUGAUGAUAACGAGAGACGAAGGCGAGAGUGCGACAGCGAACGGAGGAUCGGCAAGAAGCGGCACCGGUACCGAGUGCUCGGUUGGCUGGUUUUACGUACCUGGGUCUCCUACAGUUUGCUUCUCUCAUAAGUGGCUAAACAAAUCGGAAGACGAUAAGAAAGAUUUCCCACCGGGGAUAGUUCCCAGUCCUCCUUUUAUUCCCCCCCCUUUCAAGAGAGAGAACUUUUUCUUUUCGUUUUUUUUCCCUCAGUCGGAAAUUUUGUACUCAUUUUUUAGUUAUGAGUCAUGUGGCCAUCGGAAAUGUACUGGAUCUAGAUCAGCAGCUUGCUGGCCUAGACUUGACAUCGUCAGCAGGUGAUGCUCAGAGUGCUGGUGGGGCAGGCAAAGGACGUUAUAUUCCUCCUCACCUAA